AUUGAACGUUGGCGGCAUGCUUUACAUAUGCAAGUCGGACGGCAGCACAGCGAAGCCUGCUUCUUGGGUGGCGAGUGGCGACCGGGUGAGUAAUAUAUCGGAACGUACCGAGUAAUGGGGGAUAACUAAUCGAAAGAUUAGCUAAUACCGCAUAUUCUCUGAGGAGGAAAGCAGGGGACCUUCGGGCCUUGCGUUAUUCGAGCGGCCGAUAUCUGAUUAGCUAGUUGGUGGGGUAAAGGCCUACCAAGGCGACGAUCAGUAGCGGGUCUGAGAGGAUGAUCCGCCACACUGGGACUGAGACACGGCCCAGACUCCUACGGGAGGCAUCAGUGGGGAAUUUUGGCCAAUGGGCGAAAGCCUGAUCCAGCCAUGCCGCGUGUCUGAAGAAGGCCUUCGGGUUGUAAAGGACUUUUGUAAGGGAAGAAAAGUCUGUUGCUAAUAUCGACAGCUGAUGACGGUACCUGAAGAAUAAGCACCGGCUAACUACGUG
This 490-nucleotide ribosomal RNA is filed under the name uncultured bacterium. RNAcentral's name for it is "partial 16S ribosomal RNA". It matches the Rfam family "Bacterial small subunit ribosomal RNA", at positions 30 to 507 of the family's 1533-position model. The record is from RNAcentral.